GAUGAACGCUGGCGGCGUGCCUAAUACAUGCAAGUCGAGCGAACGGACGAGAAGCUUGCUUCUCUGAUGUUAGCGGCGGACGGGUAAGUAACACGUGGAUAACCUACCUAUAAGACUGGGAUAACUUCGGGAAACCGGAGCUAAUACCGGAUAAUAUUUUGAACCGCAUGGUUCAAAAGUGAAAGACGGUCUUGCUGUCACUUAUAGAUGGAUCCGCGCUGCAUUAGCUAGUUGGUAAGGUAACGGCUUACCAAGGCAACGAUGCAUAGCCGACCUGAGAGGGUGAUCGGCCACACUGGAACUGAGACACGGUCCAGACUCCUACGGGAGGCAGCAGUAGGGAAUCUUCCGCAAUGGGCGAAAGCCUGACGGAGCAACGCCACGUGAGUGAUGAAGGUCUUCGGAUCGUAAAACUCUGUUAUUAGGGAAGAACAUAUAUGUAAGUAACUGUGCACAUCUUGACGGUACCUAAUCAGAAAGCCACGGCUAACUACGUG
This 497-nucleotide ribosomal RNA is filed under the name uncultured bacterium. Its description in RNAcentral is "partial 16S ribosomal RNA". It matches the Rfam family "Bacterial small subunit ribosomal RNA", at positions 28 to 507 of the family's 1533-position model. The record is from RNAcentral.